Long non-coding RNA from Wasmannia auropunctata (little fire ant), 611 nucleotides. RefSeq lists it as uncharacterized. Lineage: Eukaryota; Metazoa; Arthropoda; Insecta; Hymenoptera; Formicidae. The record is from RefSeq and is a predicted model, not a curated record. The transcript is spliced from 2 exons.
CACCACGGCUUUAAACACAUGAUCCUCUGUAUUAAACCACCAGCCGUAUCCUACAAUCAAUACGUAACAAUAUCGUUAGUGCUUGUUGUAAACAGACGACACGCAUGCCUCUCAUGAUCAAAAAGGUUAGUGUAUACAUGUAUGACAUGUAUAUAGAGUAUACAUAUAUAUGUAUUAUAUAUGUAUAUUAUGUAUAUACAUAUAGACGCACACAACCAUCAUAUUCUUUGAAUAUCUUUUUCUUAACUUUUCUUUAUUCCAAAUAAUCUCACAAUCAAUCUCCUAAACUAAUUUUUGUGACUUGACUUCGAGAAGAAAAUUUAGAAUAGAAUAGAGAAAUUUGGAUUGUUACGCACUUAUAAAGGCAAGUUUAUCAUACAUAUGGUAACUCACAUGCUUCAUAGGAAAAGAAUCUCUCUAAUAAAAUAUUUAUUUAAAUUAUUUAUUAACACUAGUUUCUCUUUUUUUUUUUUUUUAAGAGUUUGGAAAAAAUAGUUUAAUUUCAUAAAAAAUGUGCAUUUUACGUACAUUUAUAGUUUAGACUUUUCUGAUUUAACAAUGAAAAAAACAAGAAUACAUUUCUAUCUAUAGAUUCCUAGGGGUUAAUAUAA